GACAGAGGGUGCAAGCGUUGUUCGGAAUCACUGGGCGUAAAGCGCGCGUAGGCGGCUGAGUAAGUCAGAUGUGAAAGCCCAGGGCUCAACCCUGGAACGGCAUCUGAAACUGCUUAGCUUGAGUCCCGGAGAGGGUGGUGGAAUUCCUGGUGUAGAGGUGAAAUUCGUAGAUAUCAGGAGGAACACCGGUGGCGAAGGCGACCACCUGGACGGUGACUGACGCUGAGGUGCGAAAGCGUGGGUAGCGAACAGG
Molecule: unclassified non-coding RNA, 253 nt
Filed under: uncultured Myxococcales bacterium
Lineage: Bacteria; Pseudomonadati; Myxococcota; Myxococcia; Myxococcales
Description: contains 16S-23S intergenic spacer region
Rfam family: Bacterial small subunit ribosomal RNA
Source: RNAcentral